AGAAGGCUUUGGAAGACAGAGAAAAGAAUGGUGGGCGCCUCCUCUCUGCAACCAAGACUCCUCUCUUCUUUUGUUGGAGAUCGCUUUAUUCAAUCCACACAGCCUCUCUGUAAACUCUUUCACUACAAUCCAGGAAGCAAACAUGUAUCAAUGCAAUUAUCCAGAGGAUUUUCUGGCUUAACUGAUUUUCUGUUCAAUAAAAGAAAUCUUGAUGAAGUGGCAAACAGCAAGCGCAGACGUCUAAGGCCUGGAAAAGUAUCACCUUGUAGACCCG
RNAcentral lists this unclassified non-coding RNA (274 nucleotides) under Hevea brasiliensis (rubber tree). The record is from RNAcentral. Lineage: Eukaryota; Viridiplantae; Streptophyta; Magnoliopsida; Malpighiales; Euphorbiaceae.